This 253-nucleotide ribosomal RNA is filed under the name uncultured bacterium. RNAcentral describes it as "partial 16S ribosomal RNA". It matches the Rfam family "Bacterial small subunit ribosomal RNA", at positions 524 to 776 of the family's 1533-position model. The record is from RNAcentral.
UACAGAGGUCUCAAGCGUUGUUCGGAUUCAUUGGGCGUAAAGGGUGCGUAGGCGGUGGGGCAAGUCAGGUGUGAAAUCCCGGAGCUCAACUCCGGAACUGCACUUGAUACUGCCUUGCUAGAGUACUGGAGAGGAGACUGGAAUUUACGGUGUAGCAGUGAAAUGCGUAGAGAUCGUAAGGAAGACCAGUGGCGAAGGCGAGUCUCUGGACAGUUACUGACGCUGAGGCACGAAGGCCAGGGGAGCAAACGGG